GGGGGUGAAUUUUGGUUUCGACGGGGUUAAAGAGGCAUUGAACUGCAUACCGUGUUCUCCGUGUACACGUUAACAAAGCGGUACAAAACAAUAACUGGCGAAUAUAACUACGCCUUAGCUGCUUAAUUAAACAUUAACAGCCGUUCUGUAUAAUUUCUCAUACCGGGUUAUAUAAGAACGACGUUUAGGUAUGAUAGCAGAUUCCAUCGCUCUUAUGGAUGAAGCAAAAUCUUUAAUGAGCAGGCUUAAAGUGAUCCUUGUCUGUCAGGUAGCUUUAAGUUAAAACAAUAACAGACUAAGUAUGUAGGCGUUCUUUGGAUCUUAACUUCGGACCGGGGUUCGACUCCCCGCACCUCCACCC
This 361-nucleotide transfer-messenger RNA is filed under the name Ignavibacteriaceae. RNAcentral describes it as "GCA-016700155 sp016700155 Standard tmRNA". It matches the Rfam family "transfer-messenger RNA". From Rfam's summary of the family: Bacterial tmRNA, also known as 10Sa RNA or SsrA, is named for its dual tRNA and mRNA-like properties. Its role is to liberate the mRNA from a stalled ribosome. The record is from RNAcentral. RNAcentral also lists the same sequence under 1 other name. Lineage: Bacteria; Pseudomonadati; Ignavibacteriota; Ignavibacteria; Ignavibacteriales.